Molecule: non-coding RNA, 891 nt
Organism: Paramuricea clavata
Lineage: Eukaryota; Metazoa; Cnidaria; Anthozoa; Malacalcyonacea; Plexauridae
Source: the annotation of a GenBank genome assembly
GCUAGUCGAAAAGAUUUCUCGUCAACCGAAAUAACCUUUGCCCAUAUGAACAGGCCCUUUAAGACGAAAGGGGUUGUUUUCUCGCAUAAAUUUUGUGCCAUCUUGUAUUCACCCGCCACGAUUUCGAGAGGUAUGGACGCAUCGAACGACAGCUAUUUGCUACGACCUAGCUAGUUACUGCUCUCUUCAGCGACGAACAGUGGUAUAAAAAUUUCCGAGUCAACUAGAGCAACAUUCACAUUCAGUGUUAUUUAAAUUUGUUUUUUAACUUUGUUUUUUUUUAUUUUUGGCAAGUUGUAGUUUUUCCCCGCUUGCUGCCAUGUUGGAAAGAAGACAAUUUGUUUUGCGCAUGCUCGAUGUCGAACAUAUUUUUUAUUUUUUUCGAAAUUUGGGCACGGCACCCCUUGCUAGACGUGCCGAGACUACCUCGUGAGAAAAUUUCCGGAGAACAACCUACUUAUGGAACACAUCAAACGAUUACCCGCCGAAGUUUCAACCCUUUAGUUUAAUUCUUCCUUCUUUUGCCGCCUUCGUAUUUUCGCGCCCGCGUUCUUACUUGUCAUCGAUAUCUAUACUUCAUGUAGAGUGAUAGUAUAAUGGAUUCAAGCAGUUUAAAAUGUUUACAGAAUUUCGAGAGAAGAAAUAAUCGAUUAUCAAGGGAUUCAAGUAGGUUUUUAAAAAUAAAUACAAUAUUAUUUCAAUCAUAACUCAUAGUGGGGCCCCCUGUGGUUGUACCGGCGGUGCAGGUAAAUCACGUGACAGAUUCGUAAAAUAUAAAGAAAAUAUUGAUUUUUCGUCGAAAAUUUACGUAAUUUAGCGCCUUAGAAAAAUAGAUCGAGGUAGAUAAAGCGUUGCUGUUUUUAAUUUACCUUAUAUUCUGUUAUUUUGUUA